UGGGCAAAAAGCAUAAAUUGCAAGUGCUAAAAGAGGAAAUACAAAUGACACAUUUAUUUUAAAAGUGUCUUUUUUUUAAAGUUUUUUUUUUUGAUGUGGACCAUUUUUUUAACAUCUUUGUUCAAUAUGUUACAAUAUUGCUUCUGUUUUAUGUUUUAGGGUUUUUUUGGCUCCGAGGCAUGUGGGAUCUUAGCUCCCCGACAAGGGAUCGAACCUGCACCCCCUGCACUGGAAAGCGAAGUCUUAACCACUGGACUGCCAGGGACGUCCCUAAAAAGCAUCUUUAGAUCACCAAUAAUCCCCUGAAAAUGCAUUGUUUAGUUUUAAUUAUACCCAAACUUUUAAAAAGUUUUAUCAUGUCUGGGUUGAUGAGGAUGUAGUUAAUGAACACUCGUGUGUUAUUACAGGAAAUGUAAACGAAUACAUUUUCUGGAGAACAGUUUGGUAACAAAUAUGAAAUUUAAGAUAUAUAGACUCUAACCAAGUAACCUCGCAUUUAGAAAUUAAUCCUGAGGAAAUUAUUGGACAAGUGUGCAAAGAUACCAACACACACAAUAUGAUUUCUAUUUUCAGAUAACAAUUGGAUAUAGCCUAACUUACUACCAAUAGAGUAUUAUUGAAACAAAUUGUUAAUCACACAAUAAUGAAAAAGGUGUUUUAAAGUGUUUAUAGGAUGGACUAGGUAGUAUGAGCAUGUAUAUAUAUACAUAAAGAAUGUAUACAUUCUUUAUAGCCACUAUUUUGGAGGGGAUGAUGCGGUUUUCUGUCACACACAGCAAGCUAAUUUCAAAGGCUACAGCAUAUUGCUUUUAUAGUAUGAAAACAUUUCUAUGUUGAGAAAAGCACACAUCUGUAAAAAAGCACACAUCUUUUUCUGGCUUAGAUGUCUUUUGUAGCCCGAAGGGCAUAAAAACCAGUAAAAAUAAUAUCAAACCCACCCUAAUAGAGACCAAAUAAGUUCUUUACACUUACGUUUUUCCCCAGGAGAUUCUCCCAAAGGCAGUUUGCUUCCCUUAUCCAUGGGAUCUAGAAGGUAUGAGAAAGAAAGUGAUUUUUAAAUAAGCAAUCUUUAUGUUUUGUGACCACAUUCAUUUCCGACAAUACUGAGUUGGUAAAGCUUUGACAGUAUUAUUUCUAUCCCUUUCAUUAUAAAGGAGGAUGAUGGUUCCUGAAGAGGGUUCUAGGGACCAAGAUGCUAGUCCUGUGCCAGCCAGCCUUUAUCCACAGAAUCUUGGGAAAACCCAUUAAUCCUUUACCUCUCAAAUUUGAAUAAAUCAUUCAACUUUCUCCAAAGGUGGUUGUGAAAAUAAAAUAUAUUAUUCAGGAUAAAAUUAGAAAUAUACAUUGUAUGAGUCAGUGUAAUGCAGGAAAAACUUGUUAAAAAUGAUAGUUUGUAUUUUAAUACGGUCAAAUAUAAUUCAUUCUUUCUGACAAUAAUUAGAUAUUUGUCAUUUGAAAGUCACAUUUGUUGUGUGGGAGUUCUGUGAAGAUGUGACACAGUGACUGAAUUACCAGCAAACAGAAGAAUGCUCUGCUUUUUUCUUCCCUCCAAGGAUAACAGUAACAAUAAAGGUCAUGUGAGAAACAUGGAGAUUGGGAUCUUAGGAAAAACCUGGAUGGCUUGGCACUGCAAUAAAGUACCAUGGAUAUACUUAGAGCAUGAAUACUUGGCAGUGGGAAUCCACGUGGAAUCUCCCAGAGACCCAGGAAGGACCUUGCACACUCUGGAGCUGAAGCCUGGAGGUUCCAGUCCUGAUGAGACCCUGCGACUACCUCCUGAGAAUAAUUCUACCGCUGGUCCUGUCUGCCACUCAGGGGAGGAGCAGAGCAAGGCUGGUCAGCAGUGGUUCCUCCACUAAUGGAAUGUCCAGUGGGGGGCAGUCAUCUGAGCCCCUGGACCAGAGGUUUCGGGGAGCCCCGGCAAUACUUUCAGGAGACCUUCAAGGAGAGACCCUCCCACGCUGAGCAUUCAGAUGACAAAUUCCAUCACCAGUCUUACCCUCUGGUGCAGGCGUUUGGGCACAUUCUGUCCUUCUCUUUUUUGCUCUUGUCAUGACCU
Orcinus orca (killer whale) is the source of this 2059-nucleotide long non-coding RNA. RefSeq lists it as uncharacterized. The record is from RefSeq and is a predicted model, not a curated record. Lineage: Eukaryota; Metazoa; Chordata; Mammalia; Artiodactyla; Delphinidae. The transcript is spliced from 4 exons.